Paramuricea clavata is the source of this 681-nucleotide non-coding RNA. The record is from the annotation of a GenBank genome assembly. Lineage: Eukaryota; Metazoa; Cnidaria; Anthozoa; Malacalcyonacea; Plexauridae.
ACAUAAUGUUUAUAUAGGUGUAUUUUUAUUUUAAGUAAUAUAAAGCAUUCGCAUUCGCUGUGUAAAUGAUUCAGAUUUACUUUCUAAUCAGAUACAGAUCGGCUGCUCGUACUUUAUACAGUUAGGCAUAUGGCACGGAAAUUAAAUUACUCUAAUUAUUAUUUUAUUGGACAGAACUAUAGCUGCACCACUGAUCUGAAAACUAAACUGGACAGUGCACCAUAUGAAAUCAGCGAGCAAGUUUACGAGGCCAUUUUACGAGGAAAGAGGGACUGCUGGUCACCAAUUCCUUUCAAGAUAAGAUCAUUGAACUAUAUAUAAGUAAACUGGAACGAUAACUCCUAUGAUAAAGGCCUUUGUUUGGGUGAAGCCAGAUUUCAGGCGCUUAAGUACAGCCUGUUCGCAGGUAUAUGUAUACGAAAAUAAAUACACAAAAAUUUUUACGAUGUAUUUUUACUAAUUUAAUCCUUAAUUUUAACUUACUAAAGUACGUUUCUGGAUGUUUGAACUCCAUUAACAACCGUAUCUAAGAUUUUUCUACAUAAAUUGUAUAAUUUUGUCUCUGAAGUCUUUCUGGAAAGUCUAAAAACUCAGAAAAACCAUAAAUUUUCGCGCGGUUUAUUGCCGAGUUUCGUUUUGUUUGUUUCAUAUUUUGGCAGUUAAACAAUAUUUGCUUAUUUU